GGGUCAGUAGGUUGGUCGUGCCACCGGUACGUACUGGUCUCGCUGAUUCCUCCUUCCUGAAGAACCGUAAUGCCAUUAAUUUGGUGUUGCGGGGAAACAGGACUGUUACUUUGAAAAAAUUAGAGUGUUUAAAGCAAGCUAACGCUUGAAUACAUUAGCAUGGAAUAAUGAAAUAGGACGAUCGAUCCUAUUUCGUCGGUUUCUAGGAUUGACGUA
Molecule: ribosomal RNA, 216 nt
Filed under: Glomeromycotina sp.
Lineage: Eukaryota; Fungi; Glomeromycota
Description: partial small subunit ribosomal RNA
Rfam family: Eukaryotic small subunit ribosomal RNA (bases 44-216)
Source: RNAcentral